AGAAUCAACGCUGGCGGCGUGCCUAACACAUGCAAGUCGAACGAGAAAGUGGAGCAAUCCAUGAGUAAAGUGGCGACCGGGUGAGUAACACGUGACUAACCUACCUUCGAGUGGGGGAUAACCUCGGGAAACCGAGGCUAAUACCGCAUAACAUCGUGAGAUCAAAGCAGUAAUGCGCUGGAAGAGGGGGUCGCGGCUGAUUAGCUAGUUGGCGGGUAAUGGCCCACAAGGCGAUGAUCGGUA
RNAcentral lists this ribosomal RNA (243 nucleotides) under uncultured bacterium. Its description in RNAcentral is "partial small subunit ribosomal RNA". It matches the Rfam family "Bacterial small subunit ribosomal RNA", at positions 26 to 285 of the family's 1533-position model. The record is from RNAcentral.